Molecule: ribosomal RNA, 497 nt
Filed under: uncultured bacterium
Lineage: Bacteria
Description: partial 16S ribosomal RNA
Rfam family: Bacterial small subunit ribosomal RNA
Source: RNAcentral
GAUGAACGCUGGCGGCGUGCCUAAUACAUGCAAGUCGAGCGAACAGACGAGGAGCUUGCUCCUCUGACGUUAGCGGCGGACGGGUGAGUAACACGUGGAUAACCUACCUAUAAGACUGGGAUAACUUCGGGAAACCGGAGCUAAUACCGGAUAAUAUAUUGAACCGCAUGGUUCAAUAGUGAAAGACGGUUUUGCUGUCACUUAUAGAUGGAUCCGCGCCGCAUUAGCUAGUUGGUAAGGUAACGGCUUACCAAGGCAACGAUGCGUAGCCGACCUGAGAGGGUGAUCGGCCACACUGGAACUGAGACACGGUCCAGACUCCUACGGGAGGCAGCAGUAGGGAAUCUUCCGCAAAGGGCGAAAGCCUGACGGAGCAACGCCGCGUGAGUGAUGAAGGUCUUCGGAUCGUAAAGCUCUGUUAUUAGGGAAGAACAAAUGUGUAAGUAACUAUGCACGUCUUGACGGUACCUAAUCAGAAAGCCACGGCUAACUACGUG